This 398-nucleotide ribosomal RNA is filed under the name uncultured bacterium. RNAcentral's name for it is "bacterial SSU rRNA". It matches the Rfam family "Bacterial small subunit ribosomal RNA", at positions 357 to 772 of the family's 1533-position model. The record is from RNAcentral.
GGGAAUUGUUCACAAUGGGCGCAAGCCUGAUGACGCAACGCCGCGUGGGGGAUGACGGCCUUCGGGUUGUAAACCUCUUUUCUCAGGGAAGAUGAUGACGGUACCUGAGGAAUAAGCCACGGCUAACUACGUGCCAGCAGCCGCGGUAAUACGUAGGUGGCAAGCGUUGUCCGGAUUUACUGGGCGUAAAGAGCGCGCAGGCGGUCGUUCAAGUCGCGUGUGAAAGCCCCCGGCUCAACUGGGGAGGGUCACGCGAUACUGAUCGACUCGAAGGCAGGAGAGGGUAGUGGAAUUCCCGGUGUAGUGGUGAAAUGCGUAGAUAUCGGGAGGAACACCAGUGGCGAAGGCGACUACCUGGCCUGUUCUUGACGCUGAGGCGCGAAAGCUAGGGGAGCAAA